Molecule: ribosomal RNA, 449 nt
Filed under: uncultured bacterium
Lineage: Bacteria
Description: bacterial SSU rRNA
Rfam family: Bacterial small subunit ribosomal RNA
Source: RNAcentral
UGGGGAAUUUUGGACAAUGGGGGAAACCCUGAUCCAGCCAUGCCGCGUGAGUGAAGAAGGCCUUCGGGUUGUAAAGCUCUUUCGGCCGGGACGAAAUCGCACGGGUGAAUACCCCGUGUGGAUGACGGUACCGGAAGAAGAAGCACCGGCUAACUACGUGCCAGCAGCCGCGGUAAUACGUAGGGUGCGAGCGUUAAUCGGAAUUACUGGGCGUAAAGCGUGCGCAGGCGGUUUUGUAAGCCAGAUGUGAAAUCCCCGGGCUUAACCUGGGAACUGCAUUUGGGACUGCAAGGCUUGAGUACGGCAGAGGGGGGUAGAAUUCCUGGUGUAGCAGUGAAAUGCGUAGAUAUCAGGAGGAAUACCGAUGGCGAAGGCAGCCCCCUGGGUCGAUACUGACGCUCAUGCACGAAAGCGUGGGGAGCAAACAGGAUUAGAUACCCCCGUAGUCC